CAAAUACCAUCUUGGCAGAAUUCUAAUGCAAAAGACUUAGAAUCUUAAUAUUCCUACA
This 58-nucleotide transfer RNA is filed under the name Dysdera sibyllina. Its description in RNAcentral is "tRNA-Leu". Lineage: Eukaryota; Metazoa; Arthropoda; Arachnida; Araneae; Dysderidae. The record is from RNAcentral.